CUUGGAUGGAAAAAGGAAUAUGGGCAUUUUCGCAUUUGAUGGAUAAUUUUGGUAAUUUUUUAUACUAUAGUGAUUUGUGUGAUAAAUUUAAUCUACAAUGCUCAAUUAGAGAAUAUAACAUAGUAAUGAAGGCCAUCCCAGUACCCUUGCAAACAAUGAUUCAGCAGUUUGUAUUGUACUCCAGAAAUAUACCAGAGUUGAGAUCACUUUGUAUUGAAGGUACAAAUUUAAAAAGUAAACAGUUUACAAAUAAGUUUAUCAGAAAUGUAUUAUCCAAACAGUACUUCCCCGGUCAAUUAAAAAGAAAGUAUGUUCUUCAAGAAUUUAGUGAAGAAGAGGCAAAGAAAAUAAGGAAACGUUAUUUUACUUAUCCAGUUCUUCCUAAAGCCAAAGAAUUAACAUUUAAAAUUCUAAAUGACAUUUACCCAUCUAAUAACUUCCUACAUGAAAGAUUUAAUUGGGAGAACAAUUCAUGUGGGUUCUGUGAAAAAGAUAUUGAAACUGUAGAUCAUAUGUUUUUCCAAUGUGAACUUCUGCAGGUUUUUUGGCAGGAAUUUCAAAACUGGCUUCAUUCCAAACAUAUAUCAAUACAGUCUUUGACUGUGAUCUCAAUUAAGGUUGGAGUAUUAUUAAAGGAUAAGAUCUUAGACUUUUUGAUAAAUAAUUUAAUUACUUUGUGUAAACACUAUAUUCACAGAUGUAAGUAUUUAAAGGUUAAACCCCACUUCAGUGGCUGGAAGAAUGAACUGAAGAUUUUUGCAAAGUCUCUUCACUACAUGAUGGACAGGAACGCCCAGAAACUCCUGUAUGCUUUGAACUUGUUUUUGUUGUUAGAAUAAGACCCUCAUCCUCCUUUUUCUAUUCCUGUUUUAUUUUGUUUUAUCUUAUUGUGUGAUAAUUGUUUGUUGUUGGGUUUUUUUGUUUUUUUUCUCACUCUCAUCUUUUUUCUUUCUUUUUGGCUGUAUCAACACGAAUAAUAUGUGUUCAGUUGUUGAAAUAGGCCGUAAAGGUUUGUAAUUGUAUUUGAUACCUUAAUAUUAAAAAAAAAAAAAAAAAAAAAAAAAAAAAAAAAUUUUUAGCACUUCCGUUUCUGAC
Long non-coding RNA from Cyprinus carpio (common carp), 1095 nucleotides. The record is from Ensembl. NCBI's taxonomy places the organism in Eukaryota, Metazoa, Chordata, Actinopteri, Cypriniformes, Cyprinidae.